UACGGAGGGUGCAAACGUUGCUCGGAAUUAUUGGGCGUAAAGCGUGCGCAGGCGGUGAGCUGUGUCCGAUGUGAAAGCCCCGGGCUUAACCUGGGAAUGGCAUUGGAAACUGGCUUGCUGGAGUGCGGCAGAGGGGGGUGGAAUUCCGCGUGUAGCAGUGAAAUGCGUAGAGAUGCGGAGGAACACCGAUGGCGAAGGCAGCCCCCUGGGUCGACACUGACGCUCAGGCACGAAAGCGUGGGGAGCAAACAGG
Molecule: ribosomal RNA, 253 nt
Filed under: uncultured bacterium
Lineage: Bacteria
Description: partial 16S ribosomal RNA
Rfam family: Bacterial small subunit ribosomal RNA
Source: RNAcentral